Molecule: unclassified non-coding RNA, 247 nt
Filed under: fungal sp.
Lineage: Eukaryota; Fungi
Description: partial internal transcribed spacer region
Rfam family: Eukaryotic small subunit ribosomal RNA (bases 1-46)
Source: RNAcentral
AAGUCGUAACAAGGUUUCCGUAGGUGAACCUGCGGAAGGAUCAUUAACACUAAUGAAAUCCAAAACCUUUUGGAUCAACCCAACCUUAGCGAACCGUUCGUUUUUUUCCCUUUGCCCCACAUUUUAUCAAACGCAAAACAAAUCUGAUGUAAAGUGUCUGAUUCUUAUUCCCGAGUGUGUAACAACGCACGCUGGGAAUCAAAAAUCUAACGCAAUACAACUCUUAACAACGGAUAUCUUGGCUCUC